GCUGGGCGUGGUGGCACACACCUGUAAUCCCAGCGGCUCUGGAGGCUGAGGUAGGAGGAUCUCAAGUUCAAAGCCAGCCUCAGCAAUGCCGUGGCACUAAGCAACUCAGUGAGACCCUGUCUCUA
RNAcentral lists this small RNA (125 nucleotides) under Marmota monax (woodchuck). The record is from RNAcentral. Lineage: Eukaryota; Metazoa; Chordata; Mammalia; Rodentia; Sciuridae.